CCAAAAAUACAGCAAAGUGUGGCUGGUUUAACUUGGAAGGACCAGCCUAAACUCAGAUUCCUAAGCCUUUCAGUCCUCCUGAGCGAACAAGGCACCUGGUCCCUUCCUUCCCUGCUCUAGCAGGGUGAGCACUGCUGAGUAAACCCAUCUCAUCAGAAAGAAGAGGAGGAGGAGGAAACCCUUUUGGGAAUGAUAAAACAACGAGCAAAGCAAGAGCUGCCAGGGAGGCUGAGCCAUGGGCAGCCUUAAGUUGUUUUCCUGGAAAACAGAAAGAAAC
This 277-nucleotide long non-coding RNA is filed under the name Zonotrichia albicollis (white-throated sparrow). RNAcentral's name for it is "lncRNA (ENSZALG00000014733.1)". Lineage: Eukaryota; Metazoa; Chordata; Aves; Passeriformes; Passerellidae. The record is from RNAcentral.